Vitis riparia (riverbank grape) is the source of this 291-nucleotide long non-coding RNA. RefSeq lists it as uncharacterized. Lineage: Eukaryota; Viridiplantae; Streptophyta; Magnoliopsida; Vitales; Vitaceae. The transcript has 2 exons. The record is from RefSeq and is a predicted model, not a curated record.
UUCAAAGGGAAGUGCAACUUUUGCCAUAAGAUUGGCCACAAGCAAGCUGAUUGCUUCAAAUUUAAAAAUUGGCUAGAGAAGAAAAAGAAAGGAGAUGACAAACAGAAGGAAGCCGUCAAAGCAUGAAGAAUGUGUGUAUAUGGGUGACGGAAGCAAAGUGAAAGUGGAAUUUUUUGGCAUGAUAAAGCUGAAGUUGAUCACAGAAAGUUUUUUGUUGUUACACAAUGUGGCUUUCAUACCCUCACUUAGGAGGAAUCUGAUUUCUGUAUCUUCUUUGGAUAGACAUGGUUA